GAUGAACGCUGGCGGCGUGCCUAAUACAUGCAAGUCGAGCGCACGGACGAGAAGCUUGCUUCUCUGAUGUUAGCGGCGGACGGGAGAGUAACAUGUGGAUAACCUACCUAUAAGACUGGGAUAACUACGGGAAACCGGCGCUAAUACCGGAUAAUAUUUUGAACCGCAUGGUUCAAAAGUGAAAGACGGUCUUGCGGUCUCUUAUAGAUGGAUCCGCGCUGCAUUAGCUAGUUGGUAAGGUAACGGCUUACCAAGGCAACGAUGCAUAGCCGACCUGAAAGGGUGAUCGGCCACACUGGAACUGAGACACGGUCCAGACUCCUGCGGGAGGCAGCAGUAGGGAAUCUUCCGCGAUGGGCGAAAGGCUGACGGAGCAACGCCGCGUGAGUGAUGAAGGUCUUCGGAUCGUAAAACUCUGUUAUUAGGGAAGAACAUAUGUGUAAGUAACUGUGCACAUCUUGACGGUACCUAAUCAGAAAGCCACGGCUAACUACGUG
RNAcentral lists this ribosomal RNA (497 nucleotides) under uncultured bacterium. RNAcentral describes it as "partial 16S ribosomal RNA". It matches the Rfam family "Bacterial small subunit ribosomal RNA", at positions 28 to 507 of the family's 1533-position model. The record is from RNAcentral.